GACGAACGCUGGCGGCGUGCUUAACACAUGCAAGUCGAACGGAAAGGCCCUUCUGUUGUGGGGUGCUCGAGUGGCGAACGGGUGAGUAACACGUGAGUAACCUGCCCUUGACUUUGGGAUAACUUCAGGAAACUGGGGCUAAUACCGGAUAGGAGCUCCGGCUGCAUUGUGGGUGUUGGAAAGUUUCGGCGGUUGGGGAUGGACUCGCGGCUUAUCAGCUUGUUGGUGGGGUAGUGGCUUACCAAGGCUUUGACGGGUAGCCGGCCUGAGUGGGUGACCGGCGACAUUGGGACUGAGAUACGGCGCAGACUCCUACGGGAGGCAGCAGUAGGGAAUAUUGCACAAUGGGAGGAAGCCUGAUGCAGCAACGCCGCGUGCGGGAUGACGGCCCUCGGGUUGUAAACCGCUUUCGCCUGUGACGAAGCGUGAGUGACGGUAAUGAGUAAAGAAGCACCGGCUAAAUACGUG
RNAcentral lists this ribosomal RNA (468 nucleotides) under uncultured bacterium. RNAcentral's name for it is "partial 16S ribosomal RNA". It matches the Rfam family "Bacterial small subunit ribosomal RNA", at positions 28 to 507 of the family's 1533-position model. The record is from RNAcentral.